CAGCAGCCGCGGGAAUACAGAGGGUGCGAGCGUUAAUCGGAAUUACUGGGCGUAAAGCGUGCGUAGGCGGUUUGUUAAGUCUGCUGUGAAAUCCCCGGGCUCAACCUGGGAAUGGCAGUGGAUACUGGCAAGCUAGAGUGUGUCAGAGGAUGGUGGAAUUCCCGGUGUAGCGGUGAAAUGCGUAGAGAUCGGGAGGAACAUCAGUGGCGAAGGCGGCCAUCUGGGACAACACUGACGCUGAGGCACGAAAGCGUGGGGAGCAAACAGGAUUAGAUACCCCAGUAGUCCCUGUCUCUUAUAC
Molecule: ribosomal RNA, 301 nt
Filed under: uncultured bacterium
Lineage: Bacteria
Description: partial 16S ribosomal RNA
Rfam family: Bacterial small subunit ribosomal RNA
Source: RNAcentral